RNAcentral lists this ribosomal RNA (250 nucleotides) under uncultured bacterium. RNAcentral's name for it is "partial 16S ribosomal RNA". It matches the Rfam family "Bacterial small subunit ribosomal RNA", at positions 524 to 773 of the family's 1533-position model. The record is from RNAcentral. RNAcentral also lists the same sequence under 1 other name.
UACGGAAGGUCCGGGCGUUAUCCGGAUUUAUUGGGUUUAAAGGGAGCGUAGGCCGUGGAUUAAGCGUGUUGUGAAAUGCAGGUGCUCAACGUCUGCACUGCAGCGCGAACUGGUCCACUUGAGUGUGCGCAACGCAGGCGGAAUUCGUCGCGUAGCGGUGAAAUGCUUAGAUAUGACGAAGAACUCCGAUUGCGAAGGCAGCUUGCGGGAGCACAACUGACGCUGAAGCUCGAAAGUGCGGGUAUCGAAC